AGGCCGGCGGUCGGGGUUUGGGGGAGUCUGCAGUCGGGAGUGAGGAGUUGAGGAAGGAGCGCUCGAGUUUCCGAGGGACAUUGGAACGCGGAGCUGUCCGUCACGCUCUCAUCUGCAUAUUCUGGUGCCCGCCCCCUCCCCUGCUCCGCCCGCUGCCGAGGCCCGGCCGAGGCCGGGGGAGGGGCAGAGAGCCGAUGGGAGGGGAGUGCAGGGGAAGGCGGAGGAGUGGCAGCGAGCGGCAGGAGGGAGGGACGGGCAGGCUUUUGUGGCGCAGCCGCCACUCGCAGCCCGCCGCUCGGAAGCUCGGCCUGGCCAAACUGGGCGUAGCGCUCCCCCCCCUCCCACAGGCACGUCUUCUCAGCCACGUCCGCGCACCCCGCGGCCGCCGACUCCAGCCUCGGCCCAGCCACCUUCCUCACUCCCCCAGCCCCGGCGCUCUGGCUCGCCUCGCACUGGUUUGCAAUGGCCUUCUACAGCCAGGCCGGGUCCGAUCCACCUGGGGGAUGGACGGAUCAGGCACCCCUCGUCACCUUGAAGAUACCGGCCCAGGCUCCACCCCGUGUCCAGUGCAGACGCCGCAGGGAGCUGGAUACCUGCAGAGUUGCUGGGCAGUCUCACUUCUACAGUCCUCUGUCCGCCUAGCCUCAAGGCCCAGGCUGCCCGCGUGGCCUCGCUCUCGUCUGGUUUUUGCCCGCUCCUGGCGCCUAUGCUGCCAAGCAUCGAACCGGAACCGGAGAGUUUUUGGUUUGGAGCUGUUCCCGGGAGGCCCCUAGAUGACACGGCUUCUGCCCCCAAGUACACAGAGAAGAUUUCAGGCCGUGUGUUAGCAACUUCAUGCCUAUUAACGUCUGGAACGCGUCAACUAGUUUCCUGCCCUGGUGUCAGUGGGGUGUGCCUUACCUUCCGCUUCUGACCUCUGCCAAGGAUGGAAGAGAAAGCAGCCAGUUCUUAUAAAACCCAGCGGAUUGGAGCAAGUCCUUACGCCUAGAUGCAGCUGAUUUGGACAUUAUUAACUACAUAACCAGACAAGUGUGCCUUGCUUUGGAGGGUCUCCUGUCCACAAACUUCCCGGAAGUGCAGCCCCACUGUUCACUGCUACCUAUCUUGACCAAGUCCCCUGUGUUUCCUCCAGCAAUUACCCUCCACCAAAAUCUAAAAUUGCGGUCCUGCUGCCUGUUGCUAAUAAAAACUGGCUACCUUGUGCAAUUAAACAGUUGAAUCUGA
Peromyscus californicus insignis is the source of this 1224-nucleotide long non-coding RNA. RefSeq lists it as uncharacterized. The record is from RefSeq and is a predicted model, not a curated record. NCBI's taxonomy places the organism in Eukaryota, Metazoa, Chordata, Mammalia, Rodentia, Cricetidae. The transcript is spliced from 2 exons.